This is a ribosomal RNA of Petromyzon marinus (sea lamprey), 120 nucleotides long. NCBI's taxonomy places the organism in Eukaryota, Metazoa, Chordata, Hyperoartia, Petromyzontiformes, Petromyzontidae. The record is from Ensembl.
GCCUACGACCAUCUCACCCUGAAUGCGCCCGAUCUCGUCUGAUCUCGGAAGCUAAGCAGAGUAGAGCCUAGUUAGUACUUGUGAUGGGAGACUGCCUGGGAAUACCAGGUGUUGUAGGCU